Myotis lucifugus (little brown bat) is the source of this 107-nucleotide non-coding RNA. The record is from Rfam. NCBI's taxonomy places the organism in Eukaryota, Metazoa, Chordata, Mammalia, Chiroptera, Vespertilionidae.
AAACUCAGAAACACAGACGAGCUGAGAGUAGAGAGGCCGGGCUUCCUUCCCCAUGGGAGAAGUGGUUACGAAAGGAGCCUCACCUAGACUGUCCUUGCCUCACAUUU